GAAACAUUUCAGAGUAAAAAUAACAGUUUUCAGAAUAUUGUACAAAAUGUUCUAGGUAGUGUUCUGAUAAUACAGCUGAAGAAAGAACUUGAAAAAUAUUACACUAAGUUUAAAAAUAUGUUUCUUUUCUGAUAUUGUUCUUGGAGGAUAUCUAUUUAGCAUGAGCAAAAGUGACUGUGAUUGGGAAAAGAAUAUUUACGCACAUCUUCAUAGUUCUCUGGUAUUAUAUAUAACUUUAUACCAGGUAUUAUACUGAAACUGGGACUCCAUCCUCUUUAUUCUACUGUUGAUCCUUGAUCCACAUCCCUUAGUGCAGUCUGACUUCUCUAAUUGGUUCUGACCAGAAUUCAGAGUUUGAAAACACCAGUACCUGAGGAAAACUUGGACAGUGAAUAAAGAAUUAUGCAUUUUUUCUCACUUGAUCUUAAAAAAGAAGGUAAACUGACAGAAACAGAAUGACCUUCAAAUAACUUCUAGCCUGCAUUUGGAAAGAAACAGUUCUCUGGAGCUGACCAAUGGCACUAUGGGACAUCUGCUUGAAGGUCACAAACACAAUUUAUAUGAUUUACUUGGCACAACGAAGUGUAUAAUAUAUAUAUGAAUGGUGCAACAUCAAAAUAUAAAAUCUUGACUCUACAAAGCUGCACUGUUAUCCUGAGCUUCAGGGAAUGGAAAAUUUUCAUUAAUGCUAUGAGGACAACA
Molecule: long non-coding RNA, 702 nt
Filed under: Anas platyrhynchos platyrhynchos (common mallard)
Lineage: Eukaryota; Metazoa; Chordata; Aves; Anseriformes; Anatidae
Description: lncRNA (ENSAPLG00000021948.1)
Source: RNAcentral